CCUUCUAAAAUGGAAAAUGUCCAUAGAAUAUUCUACCACCCAUAAAUGUAUAAACAUCUAUUUAAGCUAAGUAUAUAUUUUAAUAAAUUUAUAGUUGUAAGAAUUAUAUGAAGUAUAUUAAAUUUGCAAACGUAAAUCAGGUAUUAAAACUUUUGAGUUAAAAUGCCGUUCACUGAUUCAUAUCAAACGAAUUAAAAGGUUGCAUAGUACAAUUAAUAUUUCAAAAGGUUAAUUGGUUAAUUUAAAAUAAUUUAUAGUUCAUGCAAGUAACGUACUUUUUAUGAGACGCCGAAUAGUACUAUAUACAAAAUAUAAUAAGGCUAAAAUUCUUAAGCCGACUUAAGUAUUUUGGGCAGUGGCUAGUCCCAAAAGGUUGAGAGAGUUAAGCGCGUUACGACAAGAGUAAUUUUAAGAUGGGUGACCCAUUAGGAAGUUGAGGUAUCACAGUUAGUAUCAGAGCCAAUUAACAGCCGGAAGUGUAAAAUGAGUCUCGGCUGAGUCAGGGUUAUACAACGGGGAGAACGAGACUCUCAUACUAUUGACUGUUACGGGUAGAGCACGGCUCCCCACAAGAUGGGGACGAGUUUCAUAUCGUCUGAUACUUGUGAGUUUGAACCUGACGAGAACGUCAGGGUUUAAAGAGGAGGAGAAUGUGAGACACCGAAUAGUCUUAUAUAUAAGAUAUAAUAUGACUAAAUCUCUUAACCCGACUUAAGUAUUUUGGAUGGCGACUAAGCCCAAAAGAUUGAGAGAAUUAAGAAUGCUAGUACGAGAGUAAUUUUAGAAUAGGUGACCCAUUGGGAAGUUGG
This 809-nucleotide long non-coding RNA is filed under the name Ananas comosus (pineapple). RNAcentral's name for it is "long non-coding RNA (ACOM_LNC035492)". Lineage: Eukaryota; Viridiplantae; Streptophyta; Magnoliopsida; Poales; Bromeliaceae. The record is from RNAcentral.